CUGAGGGAAGAGAAGAGUGUCGAUAAGCGUGUACGCUGCUUUACAGCACAGGGGUGAGAGGAAAACGGAGAAUCAUUAAUCCACCUGGUAGUUGAGAAGAGGAAAACAAAAAACUCCUGGAACAAGGAAACGCAGAGAAAAAUAAACUUCUGGAGUCUAAGUACCAUUGGCUGCCCCCCCCAUGACAGAGACAGACACAGAAAAGAACACAGUUGUACUGCUGCUGGCAGCUCCCUGGGGGGUCUGGAAAACAGUGGGACCAAAAACAUAACUACUUCCAUUUCAAGAUUACCUCCGAGGCUCUGCUGGCUGCCCUGGACGCCCCAGACAGCACCUGGCCGAGCUGCUGCUCAUCUUCAGCCUGCCGCUCCGGUGCGUUUGCAGCCACACAUGUUCCUGUCGGUAGCUGCGGGGGACGCUGUGUCCACCUCACCUGUAACACUGCUUUGCUGAAGUGACCUCACUUAGCCUUUCAGCUGGGGACCAGAAGCAUUGUGGUAAGCAGACUGCCUGUGUCUGAGGACCAGUCAGCAGUUUUAAAAAAAAAAAA
Long non-coding RNA from Scleropages formosus (Asian bonytongue), 550 nucleotides. RefSeq lists it as uncharacterized. The transcript is spliced from 2 exons. Lineage: Eukaryota; Metazoa; Chordata; Actinopteri; Osteoglossiformes; Osteoglossidae. The record is from RefSeq and is a predicted model, not a curated record.